CCUACGGGAGGCAGCAGUGAGGAAUAUUGGUCAAUGGACGAGAGUCUGAACCAGCCAAGUAGCGUGAAGGAUGACUGCCCUAUGGGUUGUAAACUUCUUUUAUAUGGGAAUAAAAUGUUCCACGUGUGGGAUUUUGUAUGUACCAUAUGAAUAAGGAUCGGCUAACUCCGUGCCAGCAGCCGCGGUAAUACGGAGGAUCCGAGCGUUAUCCGGAUUUAUUGGGUUUAAAGGGAGCGUAGGUGGAUUGUUAAGUCAGUUGUGAAAGUUUGCGGCUCAACCGUAAAAUUGCAGUUGAAACUGGCAGUCUGGAGUACAGUAGAGGUGGGCGGAAUUAGUGGUGUAGCGGUGAAAUGCUUAGAUAUCACGAAGAACUCCGAUUGCGAAGGCAGCUCACUGGACUGCAACUGACACUGAGGCUCGAAAGUGUGGGUAUCAAACAGGAUUAGAUACCCCAGUAGUC
RNAcentral lists this ribosomal RNA (460 nucleotides) under uncultured bacterium. RNAcentral describes it as "partial 16S ribosomal RNA". It matches the Rfam family "Bacterial small subunit ribosomal RNA", at positions 338 to 795 of the family's 1533-position model. The record is from RNAcentral.